GUCCUAGCCGUAAACGGUGUGAACUUGGUGUGGGAGGAAUUAUCCCCUUCCGUGCCGUAGCUAACGCGAUAAGUUCACCGCCUGGGGAGUACGGCCGCAAGGCUAAAACUCAAAGGAAUUGACGGGGCCCGCACAAGCGGUGGAGCAUGUGGCUUAAUUCGAUGCAACGCGAAGAACCUUACCUGGGCUUGACAUGUGACUGGAUGCUGGUCGAAAGAUCGGAGGCCUUCGAGGCUGUCACACAGGUGCUGCAUGGCUGUCGU
This 263-nucleotide ribosomal RNA is filed under the name uncultured bacterium. RNAcentral's name for it is "partial 16S ribosomal RNA". It matches the Rfam family "Bacterial small subunit ribosomal RNA", at positions 793 to 1055 of the family's 1533-position model. The record is from RNAcentral.